CAUAUGGAGGUUACCAGAGUAGGGGUCGAAUCGGAGCUGUAGCCACUGACUACACUACAGCCACAGUAAUGCGGGACCCAAGCUGCAUCUGGGACCUACAUCACAGCUCCUGGCAAUGCUGGAUCCUUAAAUUCACUGGGCGAGGCCGGGGAUUGAACCUGUGUUCAUGGAUACUAGUCAGAUUCGUUUCUGCUGAGCCAUGACAGGAACUCCAAUUUUUUGCUUUUUUACCAAAAUUCUAGGUGAGGGUUUCUAACUGUUACUAUUUUGUUUUUAUAAUACUAUAAUAAAGAUUCUCCCAUGAAUAAAUUUCCAAACAAUAAACUUGCUAAGCCAUUUAGUUUGGAAAAGUUCCUUUGCACUAAGACACUAACCCUCACCAAACAUGUAUUUCCAAUAUUUUCUCCCAUUUGCCUGUCUCUGAACUAUAGCUCAAAUUGGCGCUACGAGGUAUUUUUGCUAUAGGCGUGUUCUGAGUAUUCAAGCAAAUAAUCUUCCUAUGGCUUAUAGCCCUAGUGUCACAUCAAGAAGCCCUUUCUGCAAACAACCCACCCAAAGGUUAUAAAAUAUUUCUUGUAAUAAUUUUCUAGUGCUUCUGCGUUUGAUUUUUACAGUUAAAUCUUUAAUCCACCCAGAAUCUCUAUGCGCUGUGGAACGUACAAUUUUCUACUUUAUUUUUCCCAAAAGACACACACUGCCAGUUGAUGUAACAUCUUCGUACAUUAUAAAUCAUCCAUUCCCAACCCAUGUAAAAUAUCACACUAGGAGUUCUUCUGCGGUCCUAUGGGUUAAGGAUCUGGCUUUGCCACUGUUGUGGCUUGCUGCUGUGGCGUGGGUUCAAUCCCUGGCCCAAAGAACUUCCACACCCCCUGGGCACAGGCUGGGGGGGGGACAGCACUUGCAUACAGAAAACUGGCCGUGCCCACAGCAGGCUGAAGUUCCCGGGCCAGAGACUGAACCCUGGCCACAGCAGCAGUGGUCCAAACCACAGCAGUAACACCACCAGAUCCUUAGACUGCUGAGCCACCAGGGAACUCCCUUCGUAUAAACAUGUUUUCCCCUUUUUAAAAAAAGGGAAAGUUUUAGGUUUACCAUUCAUUUUUUAAAAUGGAAUGGGUCAAUUUGCCCAAGAACUCAAAAAAGUUAUUUCUAAAGUUAGUUUCUAUGAAGCAGUAGGUUAUUUACCAAAAAAGAAAGCCUGUUGCCAGACCCGCGGCUCUCAGGAUGAACCACUUUCCUUCGCCUUUUCUGACCAUUCAUUAUUUAACUCUCGUGCCUCAAAGCAGUGACUUCAAUAAUACCACUAAAGACAGAAUUUCACUGUAAAGCACCCUAAAGUCUACUUCAGCUAACCGUUCAGGACAAAGAGCUUAACUGCAGGAUGGAUUGUAUGUCCCUGGCCUCUCUCCCUCGGGGCACCUCUGAGAGGAUGAGGCCGCAGGAGAGGCAGGAGCAGCCACACAGGUGCACCUGGAGCUGGAGCCUUCCCACGCCCCUGCUCGCUCCCCCGGGAAUCACAGCAUCUCAGUCACAGGAAUAAUAAGUGAGAAAGACAAAGGGAUGGCAGUGAAAGGAACCUGUUUGUCUAACUGCAGCUACUCAUCAAGUGCCUGGCUCCUCCUUCCUGCCUCUUCCUGCAGGGGACCCGGGUCCCUCUGGCACUCUCCCCAAGGACAUGUCAAUUCUGCAACAGGCCAGGAUGUACACAGCUUCAGGGCUUACAUUCAGUUUAAAAGGGAAUGUGUACCUGAGCCUGCACCGACUUGUAAUGCUAUGUCAUUAUGUCUUAGAUUAAAAUCUUUUUUGUUUGAAAUGUAAUUCCUCCCCCUCCCAAUCAAAUCAGCUAAUCUCACCUUGUCUCUUUCACAUCUUGAAAUUCUGAGCUUAGCAGGCACUUUACGCAAACUGUCAAGCAUGGAAGGGUAGCUCAAACGACAGGAGGGAUCGUUGGCUGACAGCUAACUCCUUCAACCCAUUUUUCAAAUAGAAAACACAUUAAAUUUGACGUUAAUUCAAACGCUAUUUAACCUCACGAGGCUUACUGCAGAUUGGUCACAGGUGCCACGCCCCAGCCUCUCAACUGGAGGAAGAAGCACACUGACCAGGACAUGCUGUGAAAUCCUGAGCCCAGCCAAGGCGAAGGCCCCUCCAAAGAGCUGGCACCAGCUGUGAGACAGGCCUGGGGGUACAGAGUCAGACAGGAGCCUGCCUACCAGCCUUUCUUAAGGGGUUUAGCCUUCUGUUCCUGCCUCAAUUUCCCCUACCAGCUCCCACCAUUUCUAUCAACAUCAAUUGUGCUCGCUUCUCUGUGUGGGGUCCAGGGACCAGCAACACCAGAGGCGCCUGGGAGCUUGUUAGGAAAGCUCACUCAGCCCCACUGACUGAAUUAGGAGCUGUAGCUAACAAGAUCCCAGGGGACCCAUCACAGAGUCAAGUUCUGAGAUGCACCCAAAAUAACACAUGGCUUAGGCUCUACCUAUUUAAAAACAGAACUCUCUGCUGUUCCCAUGUCACCCACCAACUACGAAGCCCCUUCCCUGCCUCGCCCUGCAGAGCACACCUUCUCGAAGCCACAUCCCCCCAGUCUCCCCUCCUCAGCUCCCAGCUUCCAACUCACUGCAAUCUGGCCUUCCCUGCCAACCACCUAGUCCCGAGUUCCCACAUCCAAAGGACCCCUUUCAUCUAACCUCCAAAGCACUCUGCACGGCAAUACCCCAGCAUCCUCCGCGUGCAGGGGACGGCAUCCACUCACAAGAACUCAAACUCCACCUACAGCUUUCUGACCCAACCCCAGGCCGACGUGCUCAUGGUUUUCCACAUCCACUCUGAACCUCAAACACUCCAAGCGUAGUUCUUGUCCCCACUGGACAGCCAGCAACCUGCACCACCCAUGAGGUUUCAUCACAGUGCCUGAGGUCACCAGCCCUAAGUCUGCAAAGCAAGCCCUGAAAAAUCACCCAAGACACCUUCCUUUGCUGUGUCCAUUGGCGCCGUGGCUGGCUCUGCCCCCGGAGCAGAUGUGAGCCUCGUGAGCCUAGCCUAGCCGUGUCCUUCCAUGUUCUCGGCCCCCACCCUUGGCCAAGCCACUUUACUGCUCAUCAACGAUCUCCUAUGAAUGAUGUUUGUCUCUAUUUGCCCAACAACCCGUUCUUCAUUCAGCAAGCUGAAUAAUCUUGAAAACCUCACAUCCUGUCACAUCCUGCUUAAAACUGCUCAAAGGGCGAGUUCCCAUCGUGGCUCAGUGGAAAUGAAUCUGACUAGUAUCCAUGAGGAUGCAGGUUCCAUCCCUGGCCUCACUCAGUGGGUUAAGGAUCCAGCAGUGCCACAAGCUGUGGUGUAGGUCACAGAGGUGGCUCGGAUCUGGUAUUGCUGUGGCUGUGCCAUAGGCCAGCAGCUGGAGUUCCGAUUCGACAACUAACUACAGUUAUCUCUGGACAAGCAACCGUGGAGAGCAACAGCGAGAGCAAAAGCGAAAGCACGUGGCUGCGCCUCUAGGAGGUUGGUGCUUCCAUAAGGGAAGGAAGGAGUCACUGCUUUGGGGGCACUUUCUGUCGUCUUCUCAAGAUCUGGGUUGAUACGCAUGUCCUCUGCCUCCUCCUCAGGCCCCAAGGCACGGUUAGUGGGAUGGACUGGCAGGAGUCUCUCCCUAGUCCCAUGAAAAUAACCCUCAAGGAUGUCACGGUCCUGUUGCCACAAAAGAAACCAGACAGCUGCAAAGAAGAGAAACUGCCUUGAGGACCCUUCCAGUACAAGCCCUAUCCUGCUCCCCAGACACUCACACCCCAGCGUCUAAGUGGGUGCCAAAGACCACAGAAAGACAGAGAGGGCUAAAAAUAACCAAAACUGAGAUUCUUUAAGUCCAGCAAUUUUAGGAAGCAUGUAUAUGUUUUUUUCAAAGAAGUAAAAUAUUUAAAAAUAAAUUUGACUAGAAAAAUUCCAAUUACAUACAAAAACUAUCCUUUAAAAUAUACAUUUCUCGAUCAUGCUUGACAAACACUCCCAAGAUUUACAUAAUAUCACAUAGGUUCCUGGAGCUUCCAUUGUGGUUCAGCAGUAACGAAACCAACUAGUAUCCAUGAGGACAUGGGUUCGAUCCCUUGCUCAGUGGGUUAAGGAUCCGGCACUGCUGUAAACCACGUGUAGGGUGCAGAUGAGCCUCGGAUCCUGUGUUGCUGUGGCUGUGGUGUAGGCCAGCAACUGCAGCUCCGAUUCUACCACUAGCCUGGGAACCUCCAUAUGUCACAGGUGCCGCCCUAACCCCACCCCCACCCCCCCAAAAAGGUUCCUAACCUCAGAUAUACAAAGGCCACUAAAAGUUCUGAACCGAUUUUGUUUUUUUGUUUUUUUAUUUUUGCUUAUUUUGUUUUGGCCGCCCCCAUGACAUGUGGAAGUCCCCAGGCCAGGGAAUCAAACCUAAGUCACGGCAGUGACAACAUCAGACCUUUAGCCUGAUGAGCCACCAGAGAACUCCUGAAAAGACUUAAAUUUUCUGAAUUCUUACUUCCCUUAUAUGAAGACUUUUCUUCUGGUUUUUCUUCUUUUUUGUCUUUUUAGGGCCAUACUGGUGGCAUAUGGAGGUUCCUGGGCUAGGGGGUCAAAUCAGAGCUGUAACAACCUGCCUACACCACAGUCACAGCAAUGCCAGAUCCCAGCCGCACCUGUAACCUGCGUUGCCCAUGGUGACACCAGAUCCUUUACCCCACUGAGCACGGCCGGGGAUCAAACCCACAUCCUCAUGGAUACUAGUUGGCUCCUUAAUCCACUGACCCACAACGGGAACUCCCUGAACAAAAAAAAUAAAUAAAUAACAAAAAUAUCAGUCCAGGAGCUCCCCGGUAGUCUAGAGGUUAAGGAUCUGAUGUCGUCACUGCUGCACCACAGGUUUGAUCCCUGGCCUGGGAACUUCUACAUGCCAUGGGCAUGGCCAAAAAAUAAAUUUUUGAAAAGUAUCCAGGAACUCCCACUGUGGCUCAGUGGGUUAAGAAUCUGACACUGUGUCCAUGAGGAUGUGAGGUCAAUUCCUGGCCUCAAUUAGUGGGUUAAGGAUUUGGUGUUGCCACAAGCUAUGGUGUAGGUCACAGAUGCGGCUUGGAUCUAGCACUGCUGUGGCUGUGGUGUAGCUGCAGCUCUGAUUCGACCCCUAGUCUGGUUACUUCCAUAUGCCGUGGGGGGGGGGACAAUAAAAAAAAAAGUCCAAAGGUGUAUUUAUUCUCUAAAUAACUACAGAUUGCCAAGAUGUUCCAAUCAGCACAGGAACAACAGAAGAUGCGUUCCUAAAAAGCUGCUCCGCUGUUAAAACGAAUCAUUUACCCACUGACUUAUAACAUCACUCCCAACAAUUUUAGCAGCUUUUACUUUUUUUAAGCUAGCAUUAUCUAAAUCUGUGAACAAAUGUUGAGACUAGAAAGGCUGCCGUUGUAAAGCUCUUCUUUCACAGCUGAAGUGCAGAAAGCUGCUCAGCAGCGUAGCAUUUUCCUGAAUAUGUCAAGUUUUAAAUUAUGGGCAACGUGCGCAGUCAGCUCCUAUAUUUAAGAAUAGGAUCGGAGGACACGAAGGUCCCUCACUGAUUUGAGCAGCACCUUUUAAAUGCCAUCCCUUCAGGGCUAGGCACCAAGACGCUUCCCUGCUCCCCGAUUCCAUCCAUGCCCAGGAAAAGCUCCCUGCCCCCUUCACUUCUCAUCUCUGUGGGUCACAGCAGCCACGCCCAAACCCACGUGUCACCAGUGGGGAAGCCAUCUCAAGCCCUUCCAAUGACCCUUCUGCCCAUUCUCAGGAAAACCACCGCAACGUUAAGGUCCUCAUUAAGUGGUGUCACAGGCAACCAUCCCCAGACCUGCCUAUGCAUCAGGCUCACCUGGGGUGUUCCUUUCAACUCCCAGUCCGGAGCCCAGACGGACUGAUGGACACUGUCAAGGGGUCCGACUCAGUCAAGUUUAAGAACUAGCCCUGCCGACAUAAACAACCCAACUGGCGUGGCCCCUCCUUCCAACCCUGGUGGUGAGGGCGAGGAAGAGACAGGUCCUCACAACUCUGUAACCACAACUGGAGGUGGCCGCCAUGAAGGCAACGACUGAGGUCAGUCGACCUGAAGAGCAACAGUGUGACCAGAAAAAGCCUCUUGAGAAGGUGACAUUUAAGCUGAGCCCUAGAGGAUCAAAGACUCAGGAGUAAAAACAGCAAAAGGAAGGAGAUGGCAGGUGGACAAGGAGGAGGGUCCAGAGGUCAGAAAAGCUGAGGCAGAGACAGAAACUUGUGAGGUAUCAAAACAAUCCGUAAACAGCAUUUAAAACAGGCAAGAACAGGGAGUUCCCCAGUGGUCUAGUGGUUAGGAAAUAGCACUUUCACAACUGUGGCUGGGGUUCAAGCCCUGGUCUGGGAACUGAGAUCCUUCAUUAAGCUGCUGCAAGAUGCAGAAAAAAGAAAAAAAAAAAACACAACACAGAUGGAAGUAGACAUGACCACCCAAGGAGAGCCCAAAGAGAGCCCAAGAAGAGAUGAAUCCUGGACUCAAGACACCAGACAACCGAGGGCGUGCAGGGCAGGCAGAGGAGGACCCUGGAAGGAAACCAAGGACAGACAAAACGGCAGAAGGCGAACCAGGAACUAAGAGUGCCUUUCAAAAAGGUGGUGAUCGAGUUUGAGUUCAAUGCCGAGAGGCACACUAUGUUGAAGACAAAGAAAAAUGACCACUUCAGGGAGCUUUCCCACCCUGUAAGCUCACAGCCAAGGAAAAUGGAAAUAAGAGGGACAGAGACCCUCUAACGGCUCCUCCCUCCUCUGACUCCACGCUGACCAAGAAGCUGCUCUGCUCCUGAACUUCAGCUCUGUGAGACAUCCAGAGUCCGGAAGGAACAUUUACCUUUUCUACCCAAGUUCUUUCUACUGGUUUCUCCAACAUGCGACUGGUUUUCUUUUUUGGCCACACCCACGCCAUAGCUGUCACCAAUCACAGCAGUGACAAUACCGGAUCCCCAACCCACUGAGCCACAGGAGAACUCCAACUGAGACUUCUUUUUACAAACCUGUCCAUGGCGGGAUGGUAAAGACAUGAGAUACGAAAUCAGGAACGCAAGGACUGGGCCAAGGAAGAAGCUCCAGGUAACUGCAGUGGGCUGAAAAGUGUCCCCCAAAUAUUCUUGUCCACCUGGAAAUCUAUCUGUAAAUGUGACUUUAUUUGGAAAAAAGAUCUUUCCAGGUAUAAUUAGUUCUAACUCACAAUGAGGUUACACUGGAUUAGGCCCCCAUCCAAUGACUGGCAUCCUUUUAAGAGCAGAGACAGACACAUAAAGAAGGCCACUUAAAGACAGACCCAGAAACUGGAUUGCCAGCAACCACCAGAAGCCAGAAAGAGGCAUCAGAGGGAGCUGCCCUGCCAACACCUUGCUUUCAGACUCAGCCUCCAAGAAGGGCGAGAGAAUAAACUUCUGCCAUUGGAAGCCACUCAGUUUGCGGUGGGAGUUAACGGCAGCCCCAGGAAACGGAGCGUCUCAUUUCAGAGCCAAAGAGAAGAACCCCUGAAAACCCUCAGUGAGAUAGGAAUAAAGAGCGGGGUUUGCACAGAGAAGCCGUGAGGCACAGAAGAAGGCAGGCGAGGAGGGCAGAGGCGACAGGCAGUGGCGGUGAUGGAAGUGGGCACGUCAGCGCCCGCACCUUGCUAAGCCCCGCAGUACGCAUUCUAUUUGUACCGUCUUGUUUCAUCCUGGGCACUACCCUAGGAGAUGGGAAAACUGGGAGGAGGUAAAUAACUUGUUCACAGCUCCUGAGCUCUGACUCUGCAGAGCCGGGAUGCCUGGCACGUGGGCACGGAAAAACCACAGGGAGAAGGAACCCAAUUAUUUCAAAGGUGACCCUCUGGGAAAUACACAUAGUGACAGUAACAAAGUAGAAAAAGUAGAAUUUAAGAAUCUACGCAAAGUUCUCUAGUGGCCUAGCGGUUAAGGCUCCAGCACUGUGGCCUGGGACCUUCCAAAUGUGGGGGCGUGGCCAAAAAACCUACAUACACGGUGUUCUCCAGUCCCUGCA
This 8022-nucleotide long non-coding RNA is filed under the name Sus scrofa (pig). RNAcentral's name for it is "lncRNA (ENSSSCG00035056571.1)". The record is from RNAcentral. Lineage: Eukaryota; Metazoa; Chordata; Mammalia; Artiodactyla; Suidae.